This is a long non-coding RNA of Oreochromis aureus, 5067 nucleotides long. The record is from Ensembl. Lineage: Eukaryota; Metazoa; Chordata; Actinopteri; Cichliformes; Cichlidae.
CGCGUGUAUGUGUGAAUGCGCACACGUCUACGUGUGAGAGCGCGGGUCAAUAAGUUAGCGAUCAGGAAUGAGAGAGAACAGGAGCUACCGUAAAGGCUAAUGUAGAAACGCAAGAAAAUGUAUGCGGCGUAUAAUGCUGGGCAUACACUGUGCGAUUUUGGCCCAUUUUGAGCCCAUUUUUCAGUCAGUCAGACCGUUUUGGUGAUCGGCCCGAGUUUCGCCUUCAUCGUGUGUCGUGCAACGUGUAGUAUACAUCGGGUAACGAGAAGCGAUUAACAAACCAGCUCCCGAUCAUCAAUCGUUUGGUCGUAAGAAAAUCAAACCUGUUUGAAAUGAAGUCGGCCGUCAUGAGGGUGUCAACGCAGCCUCCCACACUGAAAUGAAAGUGAAAAGAUGGAGCAGCACGGCAGUGCAGCGUGUGAUCUGGACACAAGCGAUGGAGGCACAACAUGUAGAACUUUGGCAAGCUCAUCUGAGCCUUUUCGAUGUGGCCUCACAAAAUUAUCACGACACAACAACCGUGAAAAUAGUUGGAUUGUCACUGCUGCUCAAUCACAGCUGCCUGGUCAAUGUUUUUCAUUAGCAAUUUAGCAAAGUUGAUGGUGGUGGUGUGCGUGUCAGUUAAAGACGGAGAAGGAGAGCGAGAGACAGAUUUUGUGUUAUAACCUUCAUGUUAGGGAUGCACAGUGUGAGCACUCAGGUCGCAGACCCUGCAUCGUGACCUACGAACUUCUAACCCCUGCGAGUCAAUCGUACAGUUUGAGCAGGAGCUGAAAAACGCGACUGAAAAAAUCGCACAGUGUAUGCCCAGCUUAAGAGGCGGCUGACUUGACCACGGUGUAAAAACUGCCGUCCUUACCGGAAGUCACUGUCUGAGUAAACACCAUAACAGCCGGGAGUUUCUGUUAUAGUAAGUGAAAAGUUAAGUUUCAUAUUCAUUUUCCGGGACAUCAACUGCUGUCUAUGGCGGCAAAAGAGACUUGUGGCGUGUAAAAUGUGGAACCAAAAGGGGCAUCCUAGAUGUAGAGAAGUUGAAAAAAGGUGAGGCAUGUAUUGAGUAUAAAGGCUGCUUGUACAGUCCACCUGAGUUUGAGAAGCUUGCAGGAAAAGAGCCAUGUAGAAAAUGGAAGUCAACUAUUUUCUACAAUGAACUACCUCUGCAGUUUUGGUUUGAGGAAGGCUAUCUAACCACUACAGGAUAUAGACCAAAGAAAAAAAAACGAAAAUCAUGCGACUCAACAGAAGAAAGUGAGGAAGAUCAUGUUGACGAUGAAGAUGAGGAUGAAGAACGGGAAGAUGAGCAUAUGGAUGAAGAGGAUGUUGGUGGUGAUGAGUCUAGCAGUGAGGAUGAUGAGGAUGAAGAAAGUGAUAAUGAUGAAGACGAGACUGCGCCUGCUGUUGCCUCUAACCAUACUGACAGCAGUGAUAUCAAAGAGAGAGUAACAGCUACAAUUCCAACACCUGGAAAACAUGCAUUACAGAUGAAAGAAGUAAAGGGUAUCAUUAACAUCCUUCCUGAGAAGACUAGACAUCAUCCUGACAUGCCAAGAUCUGAAGUCACUGAAAAUCCCAGAGAUGUGGCAAAAAACACAGCAAUCAAACAGCAAAAUGUUAACAAAGAACCUGAAAAGAAACGGAAGAAGACAACAAGCAGCACAAUUUCGACACCUGUGAAACCUGCACUAAAGAUCAAAGAAGAAAAGGGUGUCGUUAAUAGCCUUCCUGAGAGAGCAAGAGAUCAUCCUGACAUGACAAGAUCUGAGGUCACUGAAAAUCCCAGAGAUGUGGCAAAAAACACAGCAAUCAAACAGCAAAAUGUUAAGAAACAACCUGAAAAGAAACUGAAGAAGACAACAAGCAGCACAAUUUCGACACCUGUGAAACCUGCACUAAAGAUCAAAGAAGUAAAGGGCGUCGUUAAUAGCCUUCCUGAGAAGGCUAGACAUCAUCCUGACACGACAAGAUCUGAAGUCACUGAAAAUCCCAGAGAUGUGGCAAAAAACACAGCAAUCAAACAGCAAAAUGUUAAGAAACAACCUGAAGAGGAACUGAAGAAGACAACAAGCAGCACAAUUUCGACACUUGUGAAACCUGCACUAAAGAUCAAAGAAGUAAAGGGUGUGAUUAAAUUCCUUCCUGAGAAGACUAGAGAUCAUCCUGACACGACAAGAUCUGAGGUCACUGAAAAUCCCAGAGAUGUGGCAAAAAACACAGCAAUCAAACAGCAAAAUGUUAAGAAACAACCUGAAGAGGAACCGAAGAAGACAACAAGCAGCACAAUUUCAACACCUGUGAAACCUGCACUAAAGAUCAAAGAAGUAAAGGGCGUCGUUAAUAGCCUUCCUGAGAGAGCAAGAGAUCAUCCUGACAUGACAAGAUCUGAGGUCACUGAAAAUCCCAGAGAUGUGGCAAAAAACACACCAAUCAAACAGCAAAAUGUUAAGAAACAACCUGAAGAGGAACUGCAAGAACGCAAGGAAGAUCAUGUUGAACAUGAAGAUGAGGAUGAAGAACAGGAAGAUGAGCAUAUAGAUGAAGAUGAUGUUGGUGAAGAUGAGCCUAGAGCUGAGAGAGAUGAGGAUGAAGAAGGUGAUAUUGAUGAAGUCGAGACUGCGCCUGCUGUUGCCUCUAACCAUACUGACAGCAGUGAUAUCAAAGAGAGAGUAACAGAUACAAUUCCAACACCUGGAAAACAUGCAUUAGAGAUGAAAGAAGUAAAGGGUAUCAUUAACAUCCUUCCUGAGAAAGCUAUAGAUCAUCCUGGCAUGCCAAGAUCUGAAUUCUCUGGAAAUAACAGAGAUGUUGCAACAAACACAGCAAUCAAACAGCUGAAUGUCAAGAAAGAACCUGAAGAGGAACUGAAAGAACGCAAGGAAGAUCAUGUUGAACAUGAAGAUGAGGAUGAGGAACAGGAAGAUGAGCAUAUAGAUGAAGAUGAUGUUGGUGAAGAUGAGCCUAGAGCUGAGAAAGAUAAGGAUGAAGAAGGUGAUAUUGAUGAAGUCGAGACUGCGCCUGCUGUUGCCUCUAACCAUACUGACAGCAGUGAUAUCAAAGAGAGAGUAACAGCUACAAUUCCAACACCUGGAAAACAUGCAUUAGAGAUGAAAGAAGUAAAGGGUAUCAUUAACAUCCUUCCUGAGAAGACUAGACAUCAUCCUGACAUGCCAAGAUCUGAAGUCAGUGGAAAUAACAAAGAUGUGGCAAAAAACACAGCAAUCAAACAGCAAAAUGUUAAACAACCUGAAGAGGAACUGAAGAAGACAACAAGCAGCACAAUUUCAACACCUGUGAAACCUGCACUAAAGAUCAAAGAAGAAAAGGGUGUCGUUAAUAGCCUUCCUGAGAGAGCAAGAGAUCAUCCUGACAUGACAAGAUCUGAGGUCACUGAAAAUCCCAGAGAUGUGGCAAAAAACACACCAAUCAAACAGCAAAAUGUUAAGAAACAACCUGAAGAGGAACUGCAAGAACGCAAGGAAGAUCAUGUUGAACAUGAAGAUGAGGAUGAGGAACAGGAAGAUGAGCAUAUAGAUGAAGAUGAUGUUGGUGAAGAUGAGCCUAGAGCUGAGAAAGAUGAGGAUGAAGAAGGUGAUAAUGAUGAAGACAAGAGUGUGCCUUCUGUUGCCUCUAACCAUACUGACAGCAGUGAUAUCAAAGAGAGAGUAACAGCUACAAUUCCAACACCUGGACAACAUGCAUUAGAGAUGAAAGAAGUAAAGGGUAUCAUUAACAUCCUUCCUGAGAAGACUAGACAUCAUCCUGACAUGCCAAGAUCUGAAGUCAGUGGAAAUAACAAAGAUGUGGCAAAAAACACAGCAAUCAAACAGCAAAAUGUUAAACAACCUGAAAAGAAACGGAAGAAGACAACAAGCAGCACAAUUUCAACACCUGUGAAACCUGCACUAAAGAUCAAAGAAGUAAAGGGUGUCGUUAAUAGCCUUCCUGAGAAAGCUGGAGAUCAUCCUGACAUGACAAGAUCUGAGGUCACUGAAAAUCCCAGAGAUGUGGCAAAAAACACAGCAAUCAAACAGCAAAAUGUUAAGAAACAACCUGAAGAGAAACUGCGUCCUUCCUGUGAAGCUCUGCCCGUGUCAGAUGAGUGUGAACAUAAAGAUGUCCCCUGCUCUGGCCACAGUGUAGCUGAAGUACAAUCCAUGAUGCCAGAGAUGAGUGUGGACAUGUCAGAGGCCCGGUUGCCUGGGCCCUCAGCCAGCUCUGGCUUGAAUACAAUGGAUCUUGAUCAACUGAAGAGGAAAAAAAUAAAAAUGCAACUGAAGGUUUUAAAAUUACAAGAAGAGUAUUACACUUUGAAAAUAAAAGAACUGAAAAAAUGAGGAUUAAUGUAAAGCUGACAUUGCAGACAAUAAAUUAAAAGAUCGCUGUUUACAUCCACAAACUGACACACGUUAUCUGGAGGUUUCUUGGGUGGAAUGUUACUUUUGACAAAAGCUACAAAAUCAAGUGUGCUGCAUUUAUACACCGUACUUUGUCGUUGCUGUACUCAGGUUUCCUUUAGUAUUGUUGAUUACCAUGUUUUACUUUGUUAUUAGAAUUAAACAAAUAGCUGAUAUUUCCUUCCUGUAAAAUGUGAAUAAACAAUAUUGAUGCUUUUUAUCUGUAAAUUUUGCAAGUGUUAUGAAACUGUGUUUCCUUUGGACUUUGCCCAACCUGUAGUAAUAGUUGUAAGAAGUAGCCUUUAAACAGCAUCGUGCAAUGUCUUGAGCCACAGCUCAUUUCUUUAUGUUUUGCUUCCAAGGAGCAAGAACUUUUAGAAAUUUGCAAGAAAAUAACAAUAUGUGCUCUUUUACUUUGAAGCAUUGUUAGUAAUACAUCAAUCAUAUCUGUGACAGAUGAGCAUAACUGUUUAAAUUCCAAAGAAAUUAGACCCCCCCAAAAAAUUCAUGUAAAUUUGUCCAACCAUAAUGAGAAAAUAUGAAAUGAAUAAAGGAGAGUUACAGUGAUGUGCAAAAGUCUUGAGCCAGGACACGUCAUGCAGAGAUAUGUUAAGUGUCCAGCUAAUAGAUCUUUGGGCAUCAGUUGGUUCCACAAUAAAAAAAAUUCUGCCUAUCA